Molecule: ribosomal RNA, 367 nt
Filed under: uncultured organism
Description: bacterial LSU rRNA
Rfam family: Bacterial large subunit ribosomal RNA
Source: RNAcentral
CUUUACUGUAACCUGGUAUUGGUAUUUGAUUUUUGAUGCGUAGGAUAGGUGGGAGACUUUGAUCCUCUUUUUCAGGGAAGAGGGGAGUCAACGGUGAAAUACCACUCUUCAAUUGUUAGAUAUCUAACUCUAUUCCAUAAUCUGGAUAGAAGACAGUGCUAGGGGGUCAGUUUGACUGGGGCGGUCUCCUCCGAAAAGGUAACGGAGGAUUGCGAAAGUUUCUUCAAGCCGGUUGGCAAUCGGCUGCAGAGCACAUGGGUAUAAGGAAGCUUUACUGUGAGACAUACAAGUCGAGCAGUUGCGAAAGCAGGCCCAAGUGAUCCGGUAGUUGGAAGUGGAACCGCUAUCGCUUAAAGGAUAAAAGGUA